This 509-nucleotide ribosomal RNA is filed under the name uncultured bacterium. RNAcentral describes it as "bacterial SSU rRNA". It matches the Rfam family "Bacterial small subunit ribosomal RNA", at positions 17 to 518 of the family's 1533-position model. The record is from RNAcentral.
UUCUGGCUCAGGAUGAACGCUAGCGACAGGCUUAACACAUGCAAGUCGAGGGGCAGCAUAAAAGUAGCAAUACUUGGUGGCGACCGGCGCACGGGUGAGUAACGCGUAUGCAACCUACCUAUCGAGAGGGGAAUAACCCGGCGAAAGUCGGACUAAUACCGCAUAAAACAGGGGCACCGCAUGGUGAUAUUUGUUAAAGAAAUUCGCUGAUAGAUGGGCAUGCGUUCCAUUAGGUAGUUGGUGAGGUAACGGCUCACCAAGCCGACGAUGGAUAGGGGAACUGAGAGGUUGGUCCCCCACACUGGUACUGAGACACGGACCAGACUCCUACGGGAGGCAGCAGUGAGGAAUAUUGGUCAAUGGGCGAGAGCCUGAACCAGCCAAGUCGCGUGAAGGAAGAAGGAUCUAUGGUUCGUAAACUUCUUUUGCAGGGGAAUAAAGUGCAGGACGUGUCCUGUUUUGUAUGUACCCUGAGAAUAAGGAUCGGCUAACUCCGUGCCAGCCGCGGC